Molecule: ribosomal RNA, 698 nt
Filed under: uncultured Nostoc sp.
Lineage: Bacteria; Bacillati; Cyanobacteriota; Cyanophyceae; Nostocales; Nostocaceae
Description: bacterial SSU rRNA
Rfam family: Bacterial small subunit ribosomal RNA
Source: RNAcentral
CANUCUAGCUCUAGGUCGGGGACAACCACUGGAAACGGUGGCUAAUACCGGAUGAGCCGAAAGGUGAAAGGCUAGCUGCCUAGAGAUGAGCUCGCGUCUGAUUAGCUAGUUGGUGUGGUAAGAGCGCACCAAGGCGACGAUCAGUAGCUGGUCUGAGAGGAUGAUCAGCCACACUGGGACUGAGACACGGCCCAGACUCCUACGGGAGGCAGCAGUGGGGAAUUUUCCGCAAUGGGCGAAAGCCUGACGGAGCAAUACCGCGUGAGGGAGGAAGGCUCUUGGGUUGUAAACCUCUUUUCUCAAGGAAUAAGAUCUGAAGGUACUUGAGGAAUAAGCAUCGGCUAACUCCGUGCCAGCAGCCGCGGUAAUACGGAGGAUGCAAGCGUUAUCCGGAAUGAUUGGGCGUAAAGGGUCCGCAGGUGGCAUUGUGUGUCUGCUGUUAAAGAGUCUAGCUCAACUAGAUAAAAGCAGUGGAAACUACAAAGCUAGAGUGCGUUCGGGGUAGCAGGAAUUCCUGGUGUAGCGGUGAAAUGCGUAGAGAUCAGGAAGAACACCGGUGGCGAAAGCGUGCUACUAGGCCGUAACUGACACUGAGGGACGAAAGCUAGGGGAGCGAAUGGGAUAGAAUCCCCCCUAAUANNNUCCUCGAAAUUUCUAUAACCGGGGGAAAAGGGGUUUUUCUCCCCCUCGUUACACCA